GGCUGCACGCUGGUGCAGUUGGUAGCACUGUUGCCUUCAGCAAGAAGGUCCUGGGUUCGAUUCCCAGCUGGGGGUCU
Molecule: non-coding RNA, 77 nt
Organism: Crenichthys baileyi (White River springfish)
Lineage: Eukaryota; Metazoa; Chordata; Actinopteri; Cyprinodontiformes; Goodeidae
Source: the annotation of a GenBank genome assembly